Molecule: ribosomal RNA, 478 nt
Filed under: uncultured bacterium
Lineage: Bacteria
Description: partial 16S ribosomal RNA
Rfam family: Bacterial small subunit ribosomal RNA
Source: RNAcentral
GACGAACGCUGGCGGCGUGCUUAACACAUGCAAGUCGAACGUGAUUUUUGUGGAAAUUCUUUCGGGAAUGGACAUGAAAUGAAAGUGGCGAACGGGUGAGUAACACGUGAGCAACCUACCUUACACAGGGGGAUAGCCGUUGGAAACGACGAUUAAUACCGCAUGAGACCACAGAAUCGCAUGAUAUAGGGGUCAAAGAUUUAUCGGUGUAAGAAGGGCUCGCGUCUGAUUAGCUAGUUGGAAGGGUAAAGGCCUACCAAGGCGACGAUCAGUAGCCGGUCUGAGAGGAUGAACGGCCACAUUGGAACUGAGACACGGUCCAAACUCCUACGGGAGGCAGCAGUGGGGAAUAUUGCACAAUGGGGGGAACCCUGAUGCAGCGACGCCGCGUGAGCGAAGAAGGUUUUCGAAUCGUAAAGCUCUGUCCUAUGAGAAGAUAAUGACGGUAUCAAAGGAGGAAGCCCCGGCUAAAUACGUG